CCUUCGGGAUUAGUGGCGGACGGGUGAGUAACACGUGGGAACGUGCCCUUUGGUUCGGAACAACUCAGGGAAACUUGAGCUAAUACCGGAUGUGCCCUUCGGGGGAAAGAUUUAUCGCCAUUGGAGCGGCCCGCGUCUGAUUAGCUAGUUGGUGAGGUAAAGGCUCACCAAGGCGACGAUCAGUAGCUGGUCUGAGAGGAUGAUCAGCCACAUUGGGACUGAGACACGGCCCAAACUCCUACGGGAGGCAGCAGUGGGGAAUCUUGCGCAAUGGGCGAAAGCCUGACGCAGCCAUGCCGCGUGAAUGAUGAAGGUCUUAGGAUUGUAAAAUUCUUUCACCGGGGACGAUAAUGACGGUACCCGGAGAAGAAGCCCCGGCUAACUUCGUGCCAGCAGCCGCGGUAAUACGAAGGGGGCUAGCGUUGCUCGGAAUUACUGGGCGUAAAGGGAGCGUAGGCGGACUGUUUAGUCAGAGGUGAAAGCCCAGGGCUCAACCUUGGAAUUGCCUUUGAUACUGGCAGUCUUGAGUACGGAAGAGGUAUGUGGAACUCCGAGUGUAGAGGUGAAAUUCGUAG
This 575-nucleotide ribosomal RNA is filed under the name Caulobacter vibrioides. Its description in RNAcentral is "bacterial SSU rRNA". It matches the Rfam family "Bacterial small subunit ribosomal RNA", at positions 83 to 693 of the family's 1533-position model. The record is from RNAcentral. Lineage: Bacteria; Pseudomonadati; Pseudomonadota; Alphaproteobacteria; Caulobacterales; Caulobacteraceae.